This 427-nucleotide ribosomal RNA is filed under the name uncultured bacterium. RNAcentral's name for it is "bacterial SSU rRNA". It matches the Rfam family "Bacterial small subunit ribosomal RNA", at positions 355 to 774 of the family's 1533-position model. The record is from RNAcentral.
UGAGGAAUAUUGCGCAAUGGGGGAAACCCUGACGCAGCAACGCCGUGUGAGUGAUGAAGGCCUUCGGGUCGUAAAGCUCUGUUUGGAGGGAAGAAAAGGUCGUGGUAAAUAAUCACGACUCCUGACGGUACCUCCAGAGGAAGCACCGGCCAACUCCGUGCCAGCAGCCGCGGUAAUACGGAGGGUGCAAGCGUUGUUCGGAAUUACUGGGCGUAAAGAGCGUGUAGGCGGCCAGUCAAGUCAGAUGUGAAAUCCCUGGGCUUAACCCAGGAACUGCAUCUGAAACUGGUUGGCUAGAGUACGGGAGAGGAAGGUGGAAUUCCUGGUGUAGAGGUGAAAUUCGUAGAUAUCGGGAAGAACACCGGUGGCGAAGGCGGCCUUCUGGCCCGAUACUGACGCUGAGACGCGAAAGCGUGGGGAGCAAACA